ACGGCCGAAUUAGUUAUUAUCGAUUUCGUUAUCGAUUGGGGCCUCGUUCAAAAUCAUUUAAGAAGUCCUUUCCUUUUCAGGCCUGGAGGUAUACCAGGUAUAUAAUAUAUACCAGGUACCUAUAGUUUUUGAAACGAUCCAUUGAAACUCAAGAAUUAUUUUUGUAAUUUUUGUGGAAUUACAAACAUAAUUCUUGAUUUAACUGCUUGAAUAUCAACAAAGCCUUGCAAAAGAAAAUCCUUGCUUUUUAGCUGAACAAUCGAAUGUAAUAAAUAAUAUUUACGAGUAUGUAUACCUGGGACAUACAAUCCAGCUAGG
Molecule: long non-coding RNA, 318 nt
Organism: Maniola jurtina (meadow brown)
Lineage: Eukaryota; Metazoa; Arthropoda; Insecta; Lepidoptera; Nymphalidae
Exons: 2
Source: RefSeq, a predicted model, not a curated record